RNAcentral lists this ribosomal RNA (235 nucleotides) under uncultured Actinomycetales bacterium. RNAcentral's name for it is "partial 16S ribosomal RNA". It matches the Rfam family "Bacterial small subunit ribosomal RNA", at positions 96 to 334 of the family's 1533-position model. The record is from RNAcentral. Lineage: Bacteria; Bacillati; Actinomycetota; Actinomycetes; Actinomycetales.
UGGCGAACGGGUGAGUAACACGUGGGUGAUCUGCCCUGCACUCUGGGAUAAGCCUGGGAAACUGGGUCUAAUACCGGAUAGUACCAUGCUUUAGUGUGUGUGGUGGAAAGUUUUUUCGGUGUAGGAUGAGCCCGCGGCCUAUCAGCUUGUUGGUGGGGUAAUGGCCUACCAAGACGGCGACGGGUAGCCGGACUGAGAGGUUGGUCGGCCACAUUGGGACUGAGAUACGGCCCAG